This 484-nucleotide ribosomal RNA is filed under the name uncultured bacterium. RNAcentral describes it as "bacterial SSU rRNA". It matches the Rfam family "Bacterial small subunit ribosomal RNA", at positions 20 to 518 of the family's 1533-position model. The record is from RNAcentral.
UGGCUCAGGAUUAACGCUGGCGGCGUGCCUAAUACAUGCAAGUCGAAUGGUAGUAGCAAUACAAACCAUGGCGAACGGGUGAGUAACACGUAGGCAACCUGACUUUAAGACGAGGAUAACCGUUGGAAACGACGGAUAAUACUGGAUAGGACAUCAUAAAGGGCAUCCUUAGAUGUUUAAAGGUUAUCAUGCCACUUAGAGAGGGGCCUGCGGCGCAUUAGCUAGUUGGUGAGAUAACAGCCCACCAAGGCGAUGAUGCGUAGCCGGACUGAGAGGUUGAACGGCCACAAUGGAACUGAGAACGGUCCAUACUCCGUACGGGAGGCAGCAGUAGGGAAUUUUCGGCAAUGGGCGCAAGCCUGACCGAGCAACGCCGCGUGAACGAAGAAGUUAUUCGUAAUGUAAAGUUCUUUUAUCUGGGAAGAAAAAACAAAUUGACGGUACCAGAUGAAUAAGCUCCGGCUAACUACGUGCCAGCCGCGGC